Molecule: long non-coding RNA, 1440 nt
Filed under: Monodelphis domestica (gray short-tailed opossum)
Lineage: Eukaryota; Metazoa; Chordata; Mammalia; Didelphimorphia; Didelphidae
Description: lncRNA (ENSMODG00000036134.2)
Source: RNAcentral
UUUAUGACACUAUACUAUUGAAAGUAAAAAUAAAAUCCUAUUUCUGGCCAUAGACCUUUGUAUACCAGCAAUCAUAAAAAUAUCAUAUGGUAUUUUUAUAAUUAUUGAAAGCAAGAUUUGAACCUGUGUGACAGAGGUUUGAACUCAAAGUAAAGUGACAGGCUGAAGUGCUGCUGAAUCUUCUCACCUCAGUGGGGGAGGGGCCCCAGGAGGUCUGGAAUUUGGAGAAGCCAGAAGGUUCUGACUGAGAGGCAGUUAUCUCUCUCAAUCUUUAGAAGCCUAGGAGGAAGGGAGGUCUGGUCAAAACUUUCUCCUGAGGAGAUAUUCACCUUUUUCCUCUCCUGGAGACAGGACAUCCUCCCCCUCCACCAAUUCCCAACUGAAGUGAUAGCUGAAGAAGACAUUGAGCCUCUGUUAAACUUACCUCACAGCUCCUGGUGCCUUGGAUCUGAACUGUGCCAGUUGGGUCAAGACCAGGGCAAGUGCCUAUUGAAGCUACUACAUCUUCUUCAAAUCAGAAGUUUCCUGAAUCUCCUAUAGCCAUCUUUUCUAAAAUCACAUGCAGAACCUUCCCCCAAAAAGAUACAAGUUCUGUGAGGUCAGGAACUAUUUCAUUUUUCUCCUUGUAUCAAAUAGUGCCUAGCAUAAUGUCUGGCAAAUUGGAUGUGUUUAAUAUACUUUGCUGAUUAAUUUAUAUGCUGAUUUAAAUAUUCUAUACAAUAGUUUAUUUGUUCAGUAGACAUUAGACAGGACAAAAGUAAUUAUUCAUCUACUUGUUUUUUUCUUGUCAGUAUAAUUAGGCCAGAAUCUUCUGUGUUAUUGGGAUCUCAGAAGGCUCUAGAAUUAGCUUGCUUAUCGAAUUGACUUGAAUGUAUCAUAAAAUCAUUGCAAAGUGGAGUAGCUAGAAUACUUCAUGACUUAUUUUGCUAUCAUUCAGUUGUGUGUGACUCUUUGUGACCCUCAUUUGGGUUUUUGUUGGCAAAAGUACUGGUGAAUUUUGUAAUUUCCUUUUCCAGUUUAACAUAUGAGGAACUGAAGCAAAUGGGGUUAAUUGACUUGCUUAAGGUAGUAGUAGUAGUAGUAGUAGUAAAUAACAGAGCUAGUAAGUGCCCAAGACCAGAUUUGAAUUCAGGUAUCCUUGACUCCAGGCCCAGGGCAUAAUCUACUAAACCAUCUAGUGGUAAAAAAUAUUAAUUCAUGUUUGACUCUUCAUGACCUCAAGGACCAUACUGUUCACGGUUUUUAUAUGUUUAUUUGCUUUUGUUAAACAUACCAGACUGCAUUUUCAUUUCCUUCUUCAGUAAAUUAAGGCAAAUAGAGAUUAAGUGAUUUGCACAGAGCCACCUAGCUAGUAAGAAUAUGAGGCUGGUUAUGAAUUCAGGUUUUGCUGACUGCAGGCCUAGCAUUCUUAUGUACUGAGUCACAUAGCUAUACCUUCAU